UGUUCUUUAAAUAGGGACUAGUAUCAACGGCACCACGAGGGCUAUACUGUCUCCCCCCUCCAAUCAGUGAAACUGAUCCCCCCGUGAAGAAGCGGGGAUUUAUUUAUAAGACGAGAAGACCCCAUGGAGCUUUAAACCCAACGUACACCCCUCACUCAGAUACCAACUUAACCUUAAAGACUUGUACGUCAGUUUUAGGCUGGGGGGGCCACGGAGUAAAAUCAAACCUCCACAACAAAUGGGCUAACACCCUUAUCCACGAUUUACUAAUCUAAGAAUCACCAAAAUGAUGUUUAAUGACCCGAUAAUUCGAUCAAUGAACCAAGUUACCCUGGGGAUAACAGCGCAAUCCACUUCAAGAGCUCAUAUCGACAAGCGGGUUUACGACCUCGAUGUUGGAUCAGGGUAUCCUAGUGGUGCAACCGCUA
Molecule: ribosomal RNA, 428 nt
Filed under: Odorrana amamiensis
Lineage: Eukaryota; Metazoa; Chordata; Amphibia; Anura; Ranidae
Description: partial 16S rRNA
Rfam family: Bacterial large subunit ribosomal RNA
Source: RNAcentral